UGUGUGUUAGUGGAAGCGUCUGGAAAGGCGCGCGAUACAGGGUGACAGCCCCGUACACAAAAAUGCACAUGCUGUGAGCUCGAUGAGUAGGGCGGGACACGUGGUAUCCUGUCUGAAUAUGGGGGGACCAUCCUCCAAGGCUAAAUACUCCUGACUGACCGAUAGUGAACCAGUACCGUGAGGGAAAGGCGAAAAGAACCCCGGCGAGGGGAGUGAAAAAGAACCUGAAACCGUGUACGUACAAGCAGUGGGAGCACGCUUAGGCGUGUGACUGCGUACCUUUUGUAUAAUGGGUCAGCGACUUAUAUUCUGUAGCAAGGUUAACCGAAUAGGGGAGCCGAAGGGAAACCGAGUCUUAACUGGGCGUUAAGUUGCAGGGUAUAGACCCGAAACCCGGUGAUCUAGCCAUGGGCAGGUUGAAGGUUGGGUAACACUAACUGGAGGACCGAACCGACUAAUGUUGAAAAAUUAGCGGAUGACUUGUGGCUGGGGGUGAAAGGCCAAUCAAACCGGGAGAUAGCUGGUUCUCCCCGAAAGCUAUUUAGGUAGCGCCUCGUGAAUUCAUCUCCGGGGGUAGAGCACUGUUUCGGCAAGGGGGUCAUCCCGACUUACCAACCCGAUGCAAACUGCGAAUACCGGAGAAUGUUAUCACGGGAGACACACGGCGGGUGCUAACGUCCGUCGUGAAGAGGGAAACAACCCAGACCGCCAGCUAAGGUCCCAAAGUCAUGGUUAAGUGGGAAACGAUGUGGGAAGGCCCAGACAGCCAGGAUGUUGGCUUAGAAGCAGCCAUCAUUUAAAGAAAGCGUAAUAGCUCACUGGUCGAGUCGGCCUGCGCGGAAGAUGUAACGGGGCUAAACCAUGCACCGAAGCUGCGGCAGCGACACUAUGUGUUGUUGGGUAGGGGAGCGUUCUGUAAGCCUGUGAAGGUGUGCUGUGAGGCAUGCUGGAGGUAUCAGAAGUGCGAAUGCUGACAUAAGUAACGAUAAAGCGGGUGAAAAGCCCGCUCGCCGGAAGACCAAGGGUUCCUGUCCAACGUUAAUCGGGGCAGGGUGAGUCGACCCCUAAGGCGAGGCCGAAAGGCGUAGUCGAUGGGAAACAGGUUAAUAUUCCUGUACUUGGUGUUACUGCGAAGGGGGGACGGAGAAGGCUAUGUUGGCCGGGCGACGGUUGUCCCGGUUUAAGCGUGUAGGCUGGUUUUCCAGGCAAAUCCGGAAAAUCAAGGCUGAGGCGUGAUGACGAGGCACUACGGUGCUGAAGCAACAAAUGCCCUGCUUCCAGGAAAAGCCUCUAAGCAUCAGGUAACAUCAAAUCGUACCCCAAACCGACACAGGUGGUCAGGUAGAGAAUACCAAGGCGCUUGAGAGAACUCGGGUGAAGGAACUAGGCAAAAUGGUGCCGUAACUUCGGGAGAAGG
This 1417-nucleotide ribosomal RNA is filed under the name Escherichia coli. RNAcentral's name for it is "partial 23S ribosomal RNA". It matches the Rfam family "Bacterial large subunit ribosomal RNA", at positions 323 to 1746 of the family's 2925-position model. Lineage: Bacteria; Pseudomonadati; Pseudomonadota; Gammaproteobacteria; Enterobacterales; Enterobacteriaceae. The record is from RNAcentral.